RNAcentral lists this unclassified non-coding RNA (791 nucleotides) under Hevea brasiliensis (rubber tree). Lineage: Eukaryota; Viridiplantae; Streptophyta; Magnoliopsida; Malpighiales; Euphorbiaceae. The record is from RNAcentral.
AAAAAAUUGAGAAUCAUAAUUCUAGUAAAUGCUACAUAAUUAAUCUUUUUGCAAAAAUCUGAAAAGUUAUUAAUUCAAAAAAAAAAGGGUGAAACCUCCCUUUCUUAUGUCUCAACAGGUACAUUCAACAGUAAAUAAAAAGCAUCAGAAGGAGAAGAAUCAUGCAAGCAUGGACACCAACAAUCUUGUAAAGCACUUAACAACCAUUAAAUUGUGAGAGUCUACUUGAGUAACUUACAAUCCAAAGUCUUACAUUAUAACAGACAUCUCUUUAUGAGUGCUAGAUGAUGCAUUGAUUAAUCAUAAGUAAACAAAUAAAGAGCAAAAAAGGCGGCACUUCUACUAGAAUCCUAAAGAUUAUUGAUCUUACAACAUAGUCUCACCAUCUCCAAUUUAUCAAGAAACUCAGUCUCAUCUUCAUCCAAAGCUUUAGGAGGCCCUGCAACAAAACAAUUGAUUAAAGCUUCAUUCUUAAUCAAUACAUUCUGAAAAGCAGGAAUCUCUUAACUCAUUUUCCACCUCAUUGGGAAAUGGGCAGCCCUAAGAUAGGAAUGACCGGGCAAUUAAAUGUACUUUAACAACACAACUCUCACGGUCACACUUAAGAACGCACGAAUAAGAUGGAACAAUGCAUAGUGGACAAGGCAAUAAUCCAAAUUCUCUACUGAUAGGACACUGUAUACCAGUAGAGAGCUAAACACUACAUCUUCAUACAAUAUAUCAUGCUAGCCUUUCUAAGUCGAGUACUAACAGGAAAAGUAGCUAUAUAUGUUAACUUACAAACAGACGAU